GCUUGAGAAGCUCAAUUGGUCGAGCGAAAUACUGAAAAUAUUUAGGUUGUAAGUUCAAAUCUUACCUCGAGCA
RNAcentral lists this transfer RNA (73 nucleotides) under Alternaria tenuissima. Its description in RNAcentral is "tRNA-Phe". It matches the Rfam family "tRNA". From Rfam's summary of the family: Transfer RNA (tRNA) molecules are approximately 80 nucleotides in length. Their secondary structure includes four short double-helical elements and three loops (D, anti-codon, and T loops). The record is from RNAcentral. Lineage: Eukaryota; Fungi; Ascomycota; Dothideomycetes; Pleosporales; Pleosporaceae. RNAcentral also lists the same sequence under 1 other name.